GGAUGGGCAUGCGGCGCAUUAGCUAGUCGGCGGGGUAACGGCCCACCGAGGCGACGAUGCGUAGGGGUUCUGAGAGGAAGGUCCCCCACACUGGUACUGAGACACGGACCAGACUCCUACGGGAGGCAGCAGUGAGGAAUAUUGGUCAAUGGGCGGGAGCCUGAACCAGCCAAGUCGCGUGAGGGAAGACGGUCCUACGGAUUGUAAACCUCUUUUGCCGGGGAGCAACGGGGUCCUUGCGAGGGCCCAAUGAGAGUACCCGGAGAAAAAGCAUCGGCUAACUCCGUGCCAGCAGCCGCGGUAAUACGGAGGAUGCGAGCGUUAUCCGGAUUUAUUGGGUUUAAAGGGUGCGUAGGCGGGCUGUUAAGUCAGCGGUCAAAUGUCGGGGCUCAACCCCGGCCUGCCGUUGAAACUGGCGGCCUCGAGUGGGCGAGAAGUAUGCGGAAUGCGUGGUGUAGCGGUGAAAUGCAUAGAUAUCACGCAGAACUCCGAUUGCGAAGGCAGCAUACCGGCGCCCGACUGACGCUGAGGCACGAAAGCGUGGGUAUCGAACAGGAUUAGAUACCCUGGUAGUCCACGCAGUAAACGAUGAAUGCUAGCUGUCCGGG
RNAcentral lists this ribosomal RNA (608 nucleotides) under uncultured bacterium. RNAcentral describes it as "bacterial SSU rRNA". It matches the Rfam family "Bacterial small subunit ribosomal RNA", at positions 223 to 828 of the family's 1533-position model. The record is from RNAcentral.